This is a non-coding RNA of Tribonema minus, 73 nucleotides long. NCBI's taxonomy places the organism in Eukaryota, Xanthophyceae, Tribonematales, Tribonemataceae. The record is from the annotation of a GenBank genome assembly.
GGGGUUAUGGUGUAGUGGUUAUCACGAAUCGUUUGCAACGAUUAGGUCGUGGGUUCGAGCCCCACUAACUCCU